Molecule: long non-coding RNA, 681 nt
Organism: Lathyrus oleraceus (garden pea)
Lineage: Eukaryota; Viridiplantae; Streptophyta; Magnoliopsida; Fabales; Fabaceae
Exons: 4
Source: RefSeq, a predicted model, not a curated record
UUCUAACAAACUUUGGAGCCUAUAUAAACAGGUAUUCACUGUAAUUUUGGGGAAGAUUCAUUCUGCAAAUUUUCAGAUAUGCAUUCUCACAUUCACUCGAUCCAUCUCACGUAACACCGGAGUUGUAGAGAAGAAGAAGAGCAUAGGGAAAGAGGAAGAGGAAUUCAAUACCUGCACCAUCACCGGAGAGCCACCACUUCGGAGAUUCGAAUUAGGGAGAUUUGGUGUUGAAAAUUAAGCUUGGAUCUGGAUUCGAUUUCACUCUUGAUUUUCGAUGAGAGUAAAGAAACAUGAAAUUGAAGAUGAAACAGGAGAAAUAUCAUAUGCUGAGGGGAUAUGUGUUGGCUUGCGUUCGCGUUUGGCUGAUUGGAGUUUGGGCCUGAUGCCCUAGCUGGCCCCAGUGUUUGUCAAAUUCAUACCAUUCUAAAUGAUGGUCUGCUGCAGAAUUGUUGGUGCACUUUAUUGUUGAUGUUGGGAUUUAUUGCAGAUUGUGUUUAUGAAGGAAAUGGAAAAAUGAAAGGAUGACUUGGUCUUGAAGAAACAAAAGGGAUUAUGGUUUAUGGGAUGUAGAAUAAGUGAGCUGACUUUGGUCAACUAGUUGACCAAAAAGUCAAUUGUUGGCCAAAAGUCAACUUAUGUAAAAAAUUGUCAUUUCUUUGUAAUUUCCUAUGAACAUGUAUG